This 247-nucleotide ribosomal RNA is filed under the name uncultured bacterium. Its description in RNAcentral is "partial 16S ribosomal RNA". It matches the Rfam family "Bacterial small subunit ribosomal RNA", at positions 796 to 1041 of the family's 1533-position model. The record is from RNAcentral.
CACGCUGUAAACGAUGUCAACUGGGUGUCGGUAGUUUUACACUAUCGGUGCCGAAGCCAACGCGUUAAGUUGACCGCCUGGGGACUACGGCCGCAAGGCUAAAACUCAAAGGAAUUGACGGGGGCCCGCACAAGCAGCGGAGCGUGUGGUUUAAUUCGAUGCAACACGAAGAACCUUACCCAGGUUUGACAUGGUCGUAGUAGUGAACCGAAAGGGGAACGAGCCUUCGGGCAGCGAUCACAGGUGC